RNAcentral lists this long non-coding RNA (398 nucleotides) under Pongo abelii (Sumatran orangutan). RNAcentral describes it as "lincRNA". Lineage: Eukaryota; Metazoa; Chordata; Mammalia; Primates; Hominidae. The record is from RNAcentral.
GAGUGCCAGAAUGUCAUGGCUGAGAAAAGAGAUGUUAACAGGCUCCAUGAUGUUGGCCACAGAGUGCCCCCCUAAAGAGGCCUCAGAAGAAUGAAGGGUAAGAAGCUCCUCCAUAAAAUCAGAUGGCACAAAAUUGGAGGAAAAAGAGUCCUUGGCAUGAGGCUGCCACCAGGAGAAUUCUGAAGAUGCAGGGCGUGAAUGGUCAAUGCCUUUGAUUGUUGGGGCACAGGUGGAUGACCCACCAGAGCCACCUAGAGAUAACAUCACCGGAAAAGUCUUCAAGACGGUGAGAUUUGAUUUAGACUGAGUCACAGUGCAAUCUUCCAGUGGUAAAGCAGAUGGGGUUGGUGGUUCGUGACGAUGAGCACAUGAAUCAGUGGGAUUCACGGCCUGGGAAA